GGUUCCAUAGUGUAGUGGUUAGCGCAUCUGCUUUACACGCAGAAGGUCCUGGGUUCAUGCCCCAGUGGAGCCA
This 73-nucleotide transfer RNA is filed under the name Pteropus alecto (black flying fox). It matches the Rfam family "tRNA". From Rfam's summary of the family: Transfer RNA (tRNA) molecules are approximately 80 nucleotides in length. Their secondary structure includes four short double-helical elements and three loops (D, anti-codon, and T loops). The record is from Rfam by way of RNAcentral. Lineage: Eukaryota; Metazoa; Chordata; Mammalia; Chiroptera; Pteropodidae.